AUGCUGGUUUCAGCAGCACAUAGACUAGAAUCGAAACGGUACAGAGAUUAGCAUGGUCUCUGCACAAGGAUGACCCACAAAUUGGUGAAGCAUUCCGUAUUUUG
Vulpes vulpes (red fox) is the source of this 104-nucleotide small nuclear RNA. The record is from Ensembl. Lineage: Eukaryota; Metazoa; Chordata; Mammalia; Carnivora; Canidae.